GCCUCCCUCUUUCUUCGUGCCUAAUACAUGCAAGUUGAGCGCUGAAGGUUGGUACUUGUACCAACUGGAUGAGCAGCGAACGGGUGAGUAACGCGUGGGGAAUCUGCCUUUGAGCGGGGGACAACAUUUGGAAACGAAUGCUAAUACCGCAUAAAAACUUUAAACACAAGUUUUAAGUUUGAAAGAUGCAAUUGCAUCACUCAAAGAUGAUCCCGCGUUGUAUUAGCUAGUUGGUGAGGUAAAGGCUCACCAAGGCGAUGAUACAUAGCCGACCUGAGAGGGUGAUCGGCCACAUUGGGACUGAGACACGGCCCAAACUCCUACGGGAGGCAGCAGUAGGGAAUCUUCGGCAAUGGACGAAAGUCUGACCGAGCAACGCCGCGUGAGUGAAGAAGGUUUUCGGAUCGUAAAACUCUGUUGGUAGAGAAGAACGUUGGUGAGAGUGGAAAGCUCAUCAAGUGACGGUAACUACCCAGAAAGGGACGGCUAACUACGUG
This 497-nucleotide ribosomal RNA is filed under the name uncultured bacterium. RNAcentral describes it as "partial 16S ribosomal RNA". It matches the Rfam family "Bacterial small subunit ribosomal RNA", at positions 36 to 507 of the family's 1533-position model. The record is from RNAcentral.